GCUCUUGUAUUUUAUAGGGCAAUGCAUUAUAUCAUUGAUAUUUUGCAUAUAUGAUUGCAACAUGUGCUAAACUUGCCUUUCUACUACCGCUUGGCCAAAUCGUUGGGACCGACACCCUCACGCCAAGGCGCGCUGCCGAUCUAGUUCCAUUUCUAGUUAACCUAAACCCUAGUCAGGUCAAUUCCCUCAAAUCCCGCAGCCGCCGCCCCUCUCCUCGCAAUCCGCACGCACCCAGUCCCCUGCCUCCACUUGCCAGAUCCAGUAGCCAAACCCCACCCGAUCUGGACUGCCAGAUCUCAGAUCCGACGGCCCAGAGAGCCUCCCGCAGCCCCGCGGUUCCACCCAUCGCCAGUAACCCCCCGAUCCAGAUCGAGGCGAGCUCGUCCCCAGACCACAGCAGAUGAGCACCACCGUUCUCCCUCUUCCUCCCGUUCUUCCUCCCUUCUCUCCCAUGACUCAUCUCUCUUUUCUCCCGUUUGGCCAGGUCGCCGCCAUGGAUCUCCGGCCGCCGUCUGGAGCCCUUGCCGCCGUGCCCGCCUGGAUCAGGUCUGGAUCUGUUGCCGGUGGCCAGACUCCGCUCCGUUCCCGCUGUCUGCUGCCCGCUCCUCGUCGGGGGUUCCCCGCAUGCACUGAUGGAGGUUCCCAGCUCCUCUUCUGCUUCAUUCUACGGGGAGGAUAACGCACCCCUGGCUCGCGUGGACUGCCCCGGCCCGCCUCGUUGACCUUCUUCCCCCACUGAACCUCGCUGCCAGAGCCUCAAGACCCUGCUGCCAAGUCUCCCACCGCGCCAUCUUCAAGCCUUCGGCCGCCUUGCUCCUGCUUCGGUUGGCCUCCACACGCGAGGAAGACGACGAGCAUUGACCGCGCCUGCUGCCUCCCCUGCUUCGCGUCGAACCGCUCUAGCCCCGCUCCACUUGACCGAGCCCAGCCUCGCGACUUGCUUCCUCGCGGGCCACAAGCCACGGCCGACCCAGCUUCCCUCCAAGGCCCAACGUCUGCACCAGCUGAGCUUGGCCUAAUGUGAGCAGCUCCCUAGCCUCCAGUUUCGACGUAGCUAUUUUUUUCUUGUCUGCAAAUUUGCCUAAUUAUUCCAGGAACUGCAGUUUUAUUGAAAAACCCUCAUUGUUCAUGCAUAUAAUUACUCGCAAACCGUGCAUCAGAUUAAAAUGUUAUAUAUAUAUGAAAUGCUUAGUUUUUCAUGUACUUUCAUAAUAUGCCACUUUCGUCCAUGUUUAAAAUGUUUAAAAUGUUGUUUGUUUAAAUUUUCUCAAAUGUCAUGCUAAAAUAAUUUAUUUCUUUAUCUAAUAUUAAAGGACGGAAGCUUUCAUGAUUCUCCAUAAGUCAUGCCUUCAUAUCCAUUGAUUUUAUGUUACUUAUAAUUGAUGGCUAAGAUUUAAAAAUAGAUAUACAAAGUUCGGACUAGAAAAAGGACAUGACGAACUCCUCGCACAUAAUAGACGUACAUUGCUGGAACUUGGGCAAACAACCAACCAAGCCAAAAUAUUUAAAAAUAAAUAAUGCAAUUGUGGUCUGAAACAUAGACAACAUUAAAUUAAGGCAUGCUAGCAAACAUACCUAAGAGUAAGAGCUGUUAUGCGUAAAAGACAAAUUACUUCAUACACGUGGGAGACGACGGCUAGCCGUGACUAGCACACCAAGGCGAAGGUGGAGUCGUAGACUGGUAGUUGCAUGGCUACAACAACCACGCACGGACCCAUC
This 1719-nucleotide long non-coding RNA is filed under the name Triticum aestivum (bread wheat). Its description in RNAcentral is "long non-coding RNA (TAES_LNC001552)". The record is from RNAcentral. Lineage: Eukaryota; Viridiplantae; Streptophyta; Magnoliopsida; Poales; Poaceae.